UACACCUGCUAAUUUGAAAAAAGUCUCCAGUUUUUCUCAUUCUUAAUAUGAAGAAAUGGCUUCUGGAAAACAAUUGUUUCUUUUUUCCUUCUGACAUGGGAGCUGCUAGUGGAAAUAGUUUUAUACAGCUAAUAGAAAAUAUGCAAAAAGCUACUAAAUUUCUGUGCUACUAAUAAAAACAAUUAAACGUAACUUAAAAAUAGCCCAAUGAACACCUGAUAGCAAGAAAUCAUCAAGAUGUACAUCAUCUUGUAAAACUGGAAAAUUAUUAUGCAACAGUUAAUACCAAAAUAUUGAUCCCUUGUUACACAGUUGAUACCACAUCCCCAAAUAGAGACUCUGUAUCCCUUGCUAGUCUGAAUGUAACCUAGGACCACACCAAUAUACUUUGGCACCUGAGUCAGAUAAUGCAAAUAGUAGCUUCCCCAUGGUAAACAAUAUUCCAAAAUUCAGUUUCCCCCUACCUUUUAUAACAAAAACAGAUUUAUAACAAAUCUGCUGUCUGCACAGCAGCCUCAGUCUGUCAGCAGGGGCAGCCCUGAUGUAGCUACAUGUCAAAGAUACUAUUGUCUUGUCUUAACGUCUCUCUUUCUUUCAAUACUCUCCUCACCUGCAGCACUUAUCUUUGACUUAAUAUCUCUGUAAUUAAUUGAAACUGGCUCCUCCUAAGGUUUGUCACCUUUCACCUAUCAGAUUGGGUUUGAAUUCCCCUGCACCAACCUUGAAUACUCUUCAUGUACAUAACUGGAGACCAACUAUUGAAUGUAUGUCUUUAGUCUUCUGCCAUAGUGGCUAUAGAGAUAGUGUUGAUCUUUAGUACACAUACAAAAUACAGAAUUAGAUAAUCAUAUAAGUUAGGAAAAUAUGUGUUUUUCCACUUGAAAUGUAUACAAAUAAUCUCCAGUACAACUUAAUUGGGCACUGGGACGCAGGUGGCGCUGUGGGUUAAAACUACAGAGCCUUGGGCUUGCUGAUCAGAAGGUCAAGGGUUCGAAUCCCCACGAUGGGGUGAGCUCCCAUUGCUCGGUCCCAGCUCCUGCCAACCUAGCAGUUCGAAAGCACGUCAAAGUGCAAGUAGAAAAAUAGGUACCGCUCCAGCGGGAAGGUAAAUGGCGUUUCUGUGUGCUGCUCUGGUUUACCAGAAGCGGCUUAGUCAUGCUGGCCACAUGACCCGGAAGCUGUACGCUGGCUUCCUCAGCCAAUAAAGCAAGAGGGGUGCCACAACCCCAGAGUCAUCCGCAACUGGACCUAAUGGUCAGGGGUCCCUUUACCUUUACCAAUUCAUUUCAAAUAUGGCAUCUCCAGAGAAAAAAUUCUGAAGCAAUGGGGGGGGGGUUGAGUGUGUGUGACCUGAGAUGGAAUGAGUUGUACUCACGUCCCGCUUGCAGACUUCCCACAGGCUUCUAGUUGGCCACUCUUGACAACAGGAUGCUGAAGUAGACAGGCCAUUGGCCUGAUCCAGCAGGCUCUUAUGUUCUUAAUGCACAUUAAGUUUUAUGUAAGCAACAAAGAAAAAAUUCAUGAUACCCUUCAAUUUUCAAGAAACAUCAAUCAAAGGCAGAAGCACUGCAGUCUCUGUGACAAAACUUUCUUGUGAAAUCUUGGACUCUUCCUGAAGCUACUCUCCUUACAGUGACACUAGCGAGUGACUCAGUACCUCAAAACAUGUGAUUCACUGGCAACAAAAGGAAAAAGUUGCUUUAAUAGAAAAGGUGCUUUUUUAACAAACCCUUUAUCCACAAGUCCCAUGUCAGAAAUAUGUGCAUUCUAAACCAAAAUUAAGGGCAAUCAAAUUAAGUAAGCAAUACAGAUUACAAGUAGCUGCAGCAACAGAAAUGCCCGCUAUACCUCCUUCCCAAAAUCCUGAGAAAAGAGAUGUGCCUGCUGCUGAAACAACAUCAGUGUCAUGGCGAGAGAUACCUCAGAGAGUAGGUCAUUCCAAAGGUGAGGGACCACUACAAAGAAAGCCUGCCCAUGGACCCCCGCCCCACAAAUCUCAUUAGAUGUGAGAACCACCACCAGUGCUUCCCCUGCACAUCUAAUUUUAAUGCUCUCCCUGUUAAACUUAAGGCUAAAUAAAAGUUUCUUCAGUACCAGACCCAUGGUGUGAAAUAUUUCACCAGAACAUCAGCUGUGAUCUUCAAAGUGACUGUAUAACACUUCAGACUUCAGGGUCAGACUGCUUUUUAAAAAUGCAAAUAUAAUAUGACGCCAUCAGACAAGGCAUUAACAAAAGGACAACAAAAUAUUUUGGUAACACUUGAUUGUCCAUUUCCUUUUGUACCAUUCAUAUUUGUUUUUUGAAAUCAUUAAGUCUGUCCUCAGUAAUACAUUCGGCAGUAAAACAAGAAUGAUUUCUCUUUCAGUAACUAUCUAAAUAAAUUCUCAAAGUCAUAUUGAAAUAGUUCCUUGUAUAUCAUGUUCCUUCGAAACAAGUGAUUGAAUUAAGAGUUUCUAGAUGAAGUCAAGUACUUAAAGCAAAUCAGAAUUUUUUGUCUUCAGCCACUAUGAAAACAGAGAUUCAAGAUGAAAAGACCGUCUUGCCUUUUUUCCUAGCUUACACGGCUCGGCUCGUUUAUUUUUCCCAGUAGACACACUUGCAAAUCAGGCUACAGCUACACUUGGAAGUGCAGGGGUCUAGCUCCUGACCUCAGUUAGGUUAGUCCAUCCCAGCUGAAGAGCUCCCCCUUAGAUCACUGACUUGCUAUUAUUCUGUGGUUAAUAGGCCUGACCUGUGCAAUAUAUAUAAUAAAAACCUGGCUACAGUCCUAUCUCUAGUUUGAAUGCAUACCAAUUCUGUAUCUGACGCUUGCUAUAUAAUGAAAGGCAAACAAUGAAAGGGCCAAAUCAGUUUUACCAAAAAUAUAUUUGUCCAACAGUGUGGUGCAAAGAUGCUCCCAAUUUAGUCUGAGCUGUUUAUGUUGCACUGGAUGAGGGAGUUAAAAACAGCACCACAUAAAAAUCAAGGCAUCUUGUGGGAGAGAUACGUUUCCUUUCAGACAGCUUUUUCUUUAACCUGUGGCUAAUUAAAAAAUAAAUAAAUCCUGGUAUCUAUGGGAAUUUUCUUACAACCAGGAAGCCUGUUAAAGAGAAAGUAGCAGCACAACUCUCCCCCCCCCCACUCCAGCAUAGCCCCCUUAUGUCACAUUUGCAUUUCUAUUCCGCUGAACUGCCUGACAAUGAAGCAAAUGGGUUUGCCUUAUCUGUACAAUUCUGGACAACAGAGAUUUCUAAGCCAUACAAAAGAACAGCCUUACCAUUCAGCGGUUCAACACUUUCCACUGCAGUCCCCCAAGAUCCUGCGGGGAAUGCUGUCACAUAAACACCUGUCCCUACC
Molecule: long non-coding RNA, 3337 nt
Filed under: Podarcis lilfordi (Lilford's wall lizard)
Lineage: Eukaryota; Metazoa; Chordata; Lepidosauria; Squamata; Lacertidae
Source: RNAcentral